RNAcentral lists this ribosomal RNA (497 nucleotides) under uncultured bacterium. RNAcentral describes it as "partial 16S ribosomal RNA". It matches the Rfam family "Bacterial small subunit ribosomal RNA", at positions 28 to 507 of the family's 1533-position model. The record is from RNAcentral.
GAUGAACGCUGGCGGCGUGUCUAAUACAUGCAAGUCGAGCGAACAGACGAGGAGCUUGCUCCUCUGACGUUAGCGGCGGACGGGUGAGUAACACGUGGAUAACCUACCUAUAAGACUGGGAUAACUUCGGGAAACCGGAGCUAAUACCGGAUAAUAUAUUGAACCGCAUGGUUCAAUAGUGAAAGACGGUUUUGCUGUCACUUAUAGAUGGAUCCGCGCCGCAUUAGCUAGUUGGUAAGGUAACGGCUUACCAAGGCAACGAUGCGUAGCCGACCUGAGAGGGUGAUCGGCCACACUGGAACUGAGACACGGUCCAGACUCCUACGGGAGGCAGCAGUAGGGAAUCUUCCGCAAUGGGCGAAAGCCUGACGGAGCAACGCCGCGUGAGUGAUGAAGGUCUUCGGAUCGUAAAACUCUGUUAUUAGGGAAGAACAAAUGUGUAAGUAACUAUGCACGUCUUGACGGUACCUAAUCAGAAAGCCACGGCUAACUACGUG